GCGCCUACGGGAGGCAGCAGUAAGGAAUAUUGGUCAAUGGACGCAAGUCUGAACCAGCCAUGCCGCGUGAAGGAUGAAGGUCCUCUGGAUUGUAAACUUCUUUUAUAGGGGGCGAAAAAAGGUCUUUCUAGAUCACUUGACAGUACCCUAUGAAUAAGCACCGGCUAACUCCGUGCCAGCAGCCGCGGUAAUACGGAGGGUGCAAGCGUUAUCCGGAUUCACUGGGUUUAAAGGGUGCGUAGGCGGGUAGGUAAGUCAGAGGUGAAAUCCUGGAGCUUAACUCCAGAACUGCCUUUGAUACAAUU
This 305-nucleotide ribosomal RNA is filed under the name uncultured bacterium. RNAcentral's name for it is "bacterial SSU rRNA". It matches the Rfam family "Bacterial small subunit ribosomal RNA", at positions 335 to 637 of the family's 1533-position model. The record is from RNAcentral.